GAUGAACGCUGGCGGCGUGCCUUAUACAUGCAAGUCGAGCGAACAGACGAGGAGCUUGCUCCUCUGACGUUAGCGGCGGACGGGUGAGUAACACGUGGAUAACCUACCUAUAAGACUGGGAUAACUUCGGGAAACCGGAGCUAAUACCGGAUAAUAUAUUGAACCGCAUGGUUCAAUAGUGAAAGACGGUUUUGCUGUCACUUAUAGAUGGAUCCGCGCCGCAUUAGCUAGUUGGUAAGGUAACGGCUUACCAAGGCAACGAUGCGUAGCCGACCUGAGAGGGUGAUCGGCCACACUGGAACUGAGACACGGUCCAGACUCCUACGGGAGGCAGCAGUAGGGAAUCUUCCGCAAUGGGCGAAAGCCUGACGGAGCAACGCCGCGUGAGUGAUGAAGGUCUUCGGAUCGUAAAACUCUGUUAUUAGGGAAGAACAAAUGUGUAAGUAACUAUGCACGUCUUGACGGUACCUAAUCAGAAAGCAACGGCUAACUACGUG
Molecule: ribosomal RNA, 497 nt
Filed under: uncultured bacterium
Lineage: Bacteria
Description: partial 16S ribosomal RNA
Rfam family: Bacterial small subunit ribosomal RNA
Source: RNAcentral